CUUGUUGGAAAACUUUUAAACGGUCCAGAUCCCCACCCCUAAACCAUAUAUAUUCUUGUAGGGGACAAUAAGACAAAUCAAAUGAAAUAAAAAGGAAGUCCCUAGGGGGUCACCCCACCCCUUCUUGUUUGAAAACUUGUAAACGGUCCAGAUCCCCACCCCUAAACCAUAUAUAUUCUUGUAGGGGACAAUGAAACAAAUCACAUGUAAUUAGAUGGAAGUUCCUGGGGGUCACCCCUACCCCGUUCAAUUUGAGAAUGUACUAUUAUCUUGUAAACAGUCCAGAUCCCCACCCCUAAACCAUAUAUAUUCUUGUAGGGGACAAUAAAACAAAUCAAAUGAAAUAAAAGGGAAGUCCCUAGGGGGUCACCCCACCCCCUCUAGGUUGACAACUUGUAAACGGUCCAGAUCCCCACCCCUAAACCAUAUAUAUUCUUGUAGGGGACAAUAAAACAAAUCAAAUGAAAUAAAAGGGAAGUCCAAAGGGGGUCACCCCACCCCCUCUAGGUUGAAAACUUGUAAACGGUCCAGAUCCCCACCCCUAAACCAUAUAUAUUCUUGUAGGGGACAAUAAAACAAAUCAAAUGAAAUAAAAGGGAAGUCCAUAGGGGGUCACCCCACCCCCUCUUGUUUGAAAACUUGAAAACGGUUCUAGAUCCCCACCCCUAAACCAUAUAUAUUCUUGUAUGGGACAAUAAAACAAAUCACAUGAAAUUAGAUGGAAGUUCCUGGGGGUCACCCCCACCCUGUUCAAUUUUAGAAUGUACUUUUAUCUUGUAAACGGUCCAGAUCCCCACCCCUAAACCAUAUAUUAUCUUGUAGGGGACAAUAAAACAAAUCAAAUGAAAUGUAGGUAAAGUCCUGGGGUCACCACCACCCCCUUCUGUUUGAAAACUUGUAAAUGGUUGAGAUCCCUACUCGUAAGCCAUAUAUAUUCUUGUAUGGGACAAAAAAUCAAAUCAAAUGAACAUGGGACCAUAUGAAUGGGGAGUUAUCGGAGCUUUGUUUGGGAGACUUCGUAACAGCAUCCUGUUACAAUUACUUCUUGUU
Molecule: long non-coding RNA, 1050 nt
Filed under: Mytilus galloprovincialis (Mediterranean mussel)
Lineage: Eukaryota; Metazoa; Mollusca; Bivalvia; Mytilida; Mytilidae
Source: RNAcentral